GUAGGUGGCAAGCAUUGUCCGGAAUUAUUGGGCGUAAAGCGCGCGCAGGCGGUUCUUUAAGUCUGAUGUGAAAGCCCACGGCUCAACCGUGGAGGGUCAUUGGAAACUGGAGAACUUGAGUACAGAAGAGGAAAGCGGAAUUCCACGUGUAGCGGUGAAAUGCGUAGAGAUGUGGAGGAACACCAGUGGCGAAGGCGGCUUUCUGGUCUGUAACUGACGCUGAGGCGCGAAAGCGUGGGGAGCAAACAGGAUUAGAUACCCUGGUAGUCCACGCCGUAAACGAUGAGUGCUAAGUGUUAGGGGGGUUUUCCGCCCCCCUUAGUGCUGCAACUAACGCAUUAAGCACUCCGCCUGGGGAGUACGGCCGCAAGGCUG
RNAcentral lists this ribosomal RNA (375 nucleotides) under uncultured organism. Its description in RNAcentral is "partial 16S ribosomal RNA". It matches the Rfam family "Bacterial small subunit ribosomal RNA", at positions 527 to 896 of the family's 1533-position model. The record is from RNAcentral.